Molecule: ribosomal RNA, 483 nt
Filed under: uncultured bacterium
Lineage: Bacteria
Description: partial 16S ribosomal RNA
Rfam family: Bacterial small subunit ribosomal RNA
Source: RNAcentral
AUUGAACGCUGGCGGCAGGCCUAACACAUGCAAGUCGAGCGGAUGAAGGGAGCUUGCUCCUGGAUUCAGCGGCGGACGGGUGAGUAAUGCCUGGGAAUCUGCCUGGUAGUGGGGGAUAACGUCCGGAAACGGGCGCUAAUACCGCAUACGUCCUGAGGGAGAAAGUGGGGGAUCUUCGGACCUCACGCUAUCAGAUGAGCCUAGGUCGGAUUAGCUAGUUGGUGGGGUAAGGCCUACCAAGGCGACGAUCCGUAACUGGUCUGAGAGGAUGAUCAGUCACACUGGAACUGAGACACGGUCCAGACUCCUACGGGAGGCAGCAGUGGGGAAUAUUGGACAAUGGGCGAAAGCCUGAUCCAGCCGUGCCGCGUGUGUGAAGAAGGUCUUCGGAUUGUAAAGCACUUUAAGUUGGGAGGAAGGGCAGUAAGUUAAUACCUUGCUGUUUUGACGUUACCAACAGAAUAAGCACCGGCUAACUUCGUG